Molecule: ribosomal RNA, 579 nt
Filed under: uncultured bacterium
Lineage: Bacteria
Description: bacterial SSU rRNA
Rfam family: Bacterial small subunit ribosomal RNA
Source: RNAcentral
ACGGGUGAGGAAUACAUCGGAAUCUACUUUUUCGUGGGGGAUAACGUAGGGAAACUUACGCUAAUACCGCAUACGACCUACGGGUGAAAGCAGGGGAUCUUCGGACCUUGCGCGAUUGAAUGAGCCGAUGUCGGAUUAGCUAGUUGGCGGGGUAAAGGCCCACCAAGGCGACGAUCCGUAGCUGGUCUGAGAGGAUGAUCAGCCACACUGGAACUGAGACACGGUCCAGACUCCUACGGGAGGCAGCAGUGGGGAAUAUUGGACAAUGGGCGCAAGCCUGAUCCAGCCAUACCGCGUGGGUGAAGAAGGCCUUCGGGUUGUAAAGCCCUUUUGUUGGGAAAGAAAUCCAGCCGGCUAAUACCUGGUUGGGAUGACGGUACCCAAAGAAUAAGCACCGGCUAACUUCGUGCCAGCAGCCGCGGUAAUACGAAGGGUGCAAGCGUUACUCGGAAUUACUGGGCGUAAAGCGUGCGUAGGUGGUUGUUUAAGUCUGUUGUGAAAGCCCUGGGCUCAACCUGGGAACUGCAGUGGAAACUGGACAACUAGAGUGUGGUAGAGGGUAGCGGAAUUCCCGGUGUA